UACGGAGGAUCCGAGCGUUAUCCGGAUUUAUUGGGUUUAAAGGGUGCGUAGGCGGAAAUGUAAGUCAGUGGUGAAAUUUUGCAGCUUAACUGUAACAGUGCCGUUGAUACUGCAUGGCUAGGAUUUGGUUGCUGUGGGUGGAAUGUGUGGUGUAGCGGUGAAAUGCUUAGAUAUCACACAGAAUAUCGAUUGCGAAGGCAGCUCACAAAGCCAAGAUUGACGCUGAGGCACGAAAGUGUGGGGAUCAAACA
Molecule: ribosomal RNA, 251 nt
Filed under: uncultured prokaryote
Description: partial 16S ribosomal RNA
Rfam family: Bacterial small subunit ribosomal RNA
Source: RNAcentral